UGGGGCGAUAGCCCGGUUCGGAAGCGGGCCAGAUGCGGUGGCCAAAGCCAUCGUGCGAUCGGUGCGCGCCAACC
Molecule: transfer RNA, 74 nt
Filed under: Mycobacteroides abscessus
Lineage: Bacteria; Bacillati; Actinomycetota; Actinomycetes; Mycobacteriales; Mycobacteriaceae
Also listed under: 3 other names
Description: tRNA-Ala(tgc)
Source: RNAcentral